AGGGUUUGAUUCUGGCUCAGGACGAACGCUGGCGGCGUGCUUUAUACAUGCAAGUCAAGGAGAGAUCUAUUUCUUCGGAAUAGUAGUAAACUGGCGAACGGGUGAGUAACACGUAGGUAACCUACCCUAGAGAUUGGGACAACUUCGGGAAACCGGAGCUAAUACCGAAUGAUGCAAUAGAUCCAUCAGGGUACUAUUGUUAAAGCGGGCUUCGGCUCGCACUUUAGGAUGGGCCUGCGUCCGAUUAGCUUGUUGGUGGGGUAAUGGCCUACCAAGGCAAUGAUCGGUAGCUGGUCUGAGAGGAUGAUCAGCCACACUGGGAUUGAGAUACGGCCCAGACCUCUACGGGGGGCAGCAGUAGGGAAUUUUGCGCAAUGGGCGAAAGCCUGACGCAGCAACGCCGCGUGAUUGAUGAAGCUUCUAGGAGCGUAAAGAUCUGUCGUGAGGGAAGAAAAAUUCGGAGGUAAAUAAUUUUCGUUUUUGACGGUACCUCGCAAGAAAGCACCGGCUAACUUCGUGCCAGCCC
RNAcentral lists this ribosomal RNA (526 nucleotides) under uncultured Fidelibacterota bacterium. Its description in RNAcentral is "bacterial SSU rRNA". It matches the Rfam family "Bacterial small subunit ribosomal RNA", at positions 8 to 514 of the family's 1533-position model. The record is from RNAcentral. Lineage: Bacteria; Pseudomonadati; Fidelibacterota.